Molecule: long non-coding RNA, 3284 nt
Organism: Passer domesticus (house sparrow)
Lineage: Eukaryota; Metazoa; Chordata; Aves; Passeriformes; Passeridae
Exons: 3
Source: RefSeq, a predicted model, not a curated record
GAAAACAAACCAAUAGUAAAGAGAAAAGACUGUAACUAACAGAGAAUUCUCUAGGCUACGGGCAGGAUUUCUGGGGACAGACAGAGAGAAAUUACUCCGAGUGCCACAGGCUAGACAAGAGGCAAACAGACCAAACAUCCCCAAACUGCCAUCCCAACCAGACAGCCAGAGACCAAACACACCCACAGCCCACUACAAAGGAGCCCCAAACAGCUUCAAAAAACCUCCAAAACCCCACUGCUACAAUGUUAUAUUUGCUUGGGAGAGGCUAUCAACUGUUAUUUAAACAAAAAUCCCCAAGUAUUUAAAGAAACUGUGAGUGAAAAAUAGCUGGGUGUAGCCAGUGUCAUACUUUGUGAGUAGAGAAAAUCUGCAGAACCAUGGCCAUGGUGAUGACAGGGUGAUCCAUAUUGAGACAAUGCAUGUGAACACCUAAGAGCAGACUCUGCAGGGACAUGGAGGGAUGAGGCACUCUGUCCCCAGCCCCAAGAUAAAUACAGCUGUACCUAAUCCAUUCUUGAGAAUAUUGCCUGAGCUUUCUAAACACUUCUGAAGAUAGAGGCUCCCCAAGCAUUUCCCUCCAUCGACCACUGACCCUUGAGGGGGAUGUUUAUUCCCAACUGGAAACGUGAGCGGUCAAAAUGCAUCUGCGUAAUUUUCCUUUUCCAGCCUAAACAAGGACUUCUCUUUACAUCUUCCACCUAACACUGUAGACUAUGAACAUACCUGUUGUCCUUCCUGGAACUUAUCUUGCUGAAGUACUAACCCUACAGUAGUGUUCUUGUCACUGUAUGUGUAAAAUAGGAUGUGCCUGUUCAUCCAGGGCACUGAGAACACCAGCACCAAUGCUUUUAAUCACAUGAUAAAACAAGAACGCUUAAAGAGAGAAUACUAUCUUAUACCAGACUGCUAGAUAAGCCUUCCAUAAGCAACUUUUACCAGUGUUAAAGACAAAAUUAUAUACCUGCCAAUUCUGAACUUGAAGGUGAACAGAAGUCGUUAUAUCUGACUCUUCUAACAGUUGCUUGUAAUUGCAAUAUGCUGUAAUUUUGAUAUUCUUCUGUCUCAGCAUUUCAGAAUCUUCUCAGCUCAGUGGGAUAUGUUAGCUGCUGAUGUUCCCAUCGCCAGAUUGCAAAUAGACAAAAUCAAAUGCAAUAAAACUUGGAAGCAAAGCCCCAAACCCUCACUAAUAUUAAAGGAAUGGCCUAAAGCCAGUUUCCUACAAAUUCUGCUUUCUAACUUUGAUGAAAUGCUUUAUUCAUAUUUGGGUCAACUGUAUCGGUGUGUUUGAAAGCUGUUUCCUUCUGCAAUCUGAUAUUCUUCGAGUAUUUGACUUCAGCUUCUCAGUGGCUGGAAAUUUAGCCCAGGAUGGCCAAUCUCCAAAUCCUAGUCACUCUAAAAUUCUGAGCUCCCAAGACUAGAUGAGUAUAAAUAUAUUUAUUUCAGAAUUAACAUGGUAAUUCCAUUGCAUGUUUAAGCACAAUGGAUAAUUGUACCUAAUUCUGAUAGUAACAUUUUAUAGAAUAUUAUCCAAAUUCUUCUAAAUACUGAUUUUUCAAAUAGAGAUCCUUUGACCCUGAGCAGGAUUCAUUUCCUGCUCCCCAUGCAGCUGACAGGCAGCUCAGAGUCAGUGGCUUCACUAGGCAGGAGGAUGCUUAGUUCCACUACCUGGACUUGACUCAGCACUGGUGUUACCACCUACUAAGAAACAACUGAGAAAAGACAUAAGCUGCUCCCAACAGCCCUUACUGCUUUAAGGCAUUUUGAGUUCUUGGUUCUGGCACCAAAGUGAGCCUAAGCAACAACCUUUUUGGGAUAAUGAAGAAGACCCAAGUAGAUUACACAGAGAGUGGAGUUCCAGUGGAUAGUCAAGUAUAUGAAAAUUUGUAAUAGCUCUGUAACACAGCAUCUCCAGUUUCUCUUCAAAGCUCAGGAUAACCAGUUAUCUUGGAUUGCCUCAGAAAGGUUCAUGGGAUUUCUUUGCUGUCAGGGUCUUUUUGCCCUUUCCCACAAGUGAAACACUGCUCAGAUACAGCUCAUGUCCAUGAAGAUGUUGGUUUGACUACACAGAUGUAAAUUGCUGUUUGCCCUCCUUACCAAUCUCCAAAGAACAAUCAGCUGAAACUCAGCAAAGGUCUCUGAAGUGCACUGAAAUCUGCCCCAUCUUUCUCUGGAUGAGGACAAGGCAGCAAGAGCACUGCUGUACCCAUGGAGGCACUGGGACACAGAUACUCAGCAUCUCACUGUGCUGAGAUCUGCCCUGGUGUUCUUGAAUUAAGGUGUGCUUGUACCACUCGUCUGAGGUGUCAGGUUUGUGCAAGCUAUGUCAGCGCCCUUGGCCUGAUCCAGCGGUGUUGGACGCAUAGUAUGGGGAAUCUUUAUCUGUUGAAUACCUUAAUUUCUGGAGGAAGUCCAAGGUUGAGUGACACAGGAUUCUGCUACACUGCCCACACUGGCUCUCCUUUUUCUGAGCCCUCUCCAACUUUUAACUCUUAUGGUGCUUCUUGCCUUGAAUCAUUAGUCAGUUCUCUGACUGCCCUGGAUGAUUUCUGUGUCCACCAAAGGCUGGCAUGUGAGGAUUCCACUGAAGGGCUUUAUAGAAAACCUGAUCUUUCCAGCAUACGUUAAGGAAAGAGGAAAAUGACAGGAGAAUUCAAAAGAAAAACAGAAUAGAAAAUAGCAAAUCCUUAGAAAACAGGACCUACAAUAGCCUUCUGCUGUAUCUGUGAUAAUAAAGUAGCUGUUGGCAGGCUUCUCCUAAAUACCCUCUCUAUGCAGUGUCCAGCAGUAUUACACUGUGAAGUUCCAGCACUGCUGAAAGGGUGGCACUGAUAGAAACAGUGAAUUACAGCCAUGGCAAGCUACAGCAUAACCUUGUCAAAAGUUAUUCACUUGUGUCACUACUUUCCUGACAGAGCUUUAAGAGCCAUACACAAACUCCUUGCCUCCCAAAUGCCUUGUAUGAACUCAGGACCUUCUCUUUUCAGAGAAACCAUGAGGAAGUCUGUCUUCUGCCUCUGGUACAAAAAAUUAUCAGACUAUCAAAUCACAUAACUUGCUUCCUUCCUCUGUCUGUUUUUUCCCCUGAAUGUAUGGCAACAAAGGGAUCAGAGUGGGAACGUAUAAAGCUAACGGAAGAAGUUUCUCACUCUGUGAAAGGGUCCAUGCUAUGUGCUAUGUCCUCAGAUAAACUGAAUCAGAAAUAAUGAACUCAGAGGAGAACUUCAUGGGGUGAGCUCUUGUAAAGCGUGCUCCAGGACAAGCUAACAAUUUGUUUGCAUUGC